AUGGACUUCGUCGUCUUCUUCCUUCGCUCCGUUGCGCUUCGCAGUUGCAGAAAGCAGAUAAAACUCUCGAAGCUCUGCUCGGCGCCUCACAAUAUUCUCUCUCUCCCUCCCUCUCUCUCUCUCUGACAUGGCCGCAGCUCAGGUCUCUGCUUCACUCUCGGUCUCUGCUCGCGGUACCCUUUCUUCAUCUCUCUCUCUCUCUCUCUCUCUCUCUCUCUCUCUCUCUGCGCGCUGCAAUUUGUCUCCAUUGUCGUCUCUCAUGAAGCUCUGCGCCGGUUCGUCCUCUGCUCUGUCUUUUGGCUGCAGAUUUCUGCGCGGUUGGCUCGCCGGGAACGAGGGUCGUUGUUCCUCGGGUUCGACUCCCGGGUCGCGCCGCGAGCGGCGCCACCUUCGCUACCGGUUCUCCCCUCGGUAAGCGUCUCGAAUUCGAACGAGUGUCGUGUCGGGUCAUAUUUAAUGUCGACGGACCGGCUCGUGCUGUUACCUGAAUUGGGUGAAAGGAUUUCACGGCUGAAAAUGAUGAAUUUUGAUGUUGAAUCGGUAGCCCAGUUGAGUGAAGAAGAGUGGUUUCUUCAUACGAGCAUCCAUGAACUACUUGAAUUGGAUUGAAGUUUUGGGGUCCGACCGAGCUGACCCGUUAAUCCAAAUGGGUUUAAUUUCGCUUCGUGAAAAUCCAUUAGCCUGACGGGCCGUAAUUGUUGAGGACCACAGAGUCCUUGGCUUUGUAGCUGUUCAAUGUUUGCGGUAUUGAUUAUAGUUUCUUCAUUGGUGCUAGUGAACUUUAUAAUGUGUGCACUAGCGACAUGAUGGCGACCAAUGUCUGAGUGCAUGCCCUUCUCUAUUUGCAUGCUGGGA
Molecule: long non-coding RNA, 855 nt
Filed under: Eucalyptus grandis
Lineage: Eukaryota; Viridiplantae; Streptophyta; Magnoliopsida; Myrtales; Myrtaceae
Description: long non-coding RNA (EGRA_LNC004218)
Source: RNAcentral